This 225-nucleotide long non-coding RNA is filed under the name Homo sapiens (human). Its description in RNAcentral is "non-protein coding lnc-CFL2-3:1". The record is from RNAcentral. Lineage: Eukaryota; Metazoa; Chordata; Mammalia; Primates; Hominidae.
UUCUGAAGGAUAUGCUUUAGGAAAUACUAGAGAAUUGCUUAGUUUCAGUUAACUGUAGCUGAAAAGGCCGGGCGUGGUGGCUCACGCCUGUAAUCCCAGCAUUUUGGGAGGCCGAGGCGGGCAGAUCACGAGGUCAGGAGAUCACGAGGUCAGGAGAUCGAGACCAUCCUAGCUAACACGGUGAAACCCUGUCUCUACUAAAAAUACAAAACAAAAUUAGCCGGG